Ornithorhynchus anatinus (platypus) is the source of this 138-nucleotide non-coding RNA. Lineage: Eukaryota; Metazoa; Chordata; Mammalia; Monotremata; Ornithorhynchidae. The record is from Rfam.
UCCCUCUCAGCGUCGCACCUGGAGAGUUUCCAGUAUGCUACCAGACUCGGUUAUGGGAGGGAGAGUCAAGCAGAGGCCUGUCCAUUCCAUUCCUAGCUCGGCCAGUGGCUAGCGAGUGGCAGGCCAUCUGCUACAAGU